UUGAUCCUUUUUUGGAUUUGCAGAAGUUAAGUUUUCAACUGCUUAACACCGUGAUUUUCUCUAUUGAUUUCAAUUGUAAAUAAUGAAGAAAAUGCUCCAAAUCUCUUUGAUAUCGCUCACAGCCCACAGGUCAAGCUUUAUGACCAUAGAAGGUGUGGGAAGAAUGGUUGUACUCUCAUAUGAAGGGAAUGCAAGCUUACAUGAUAAAAUUACAACAUGUAGUGGACCCUUCAGAGAAAUUUGUCAUGACAGGUGGAAUAGACAACAAAGUGCGGUUUUGGAGCAUCAAGUCUGGAGAACUACUAUUUGAGAAGUUGUUUAUGACUUAUAUCUCCUUAUAAUUCUGUUGGGGAAAAAACGAAGGUAUAGCUCACUAGCUUUAGAACAUGCAACCAUUUAAUUUUCUUGUUAUCAUCGAUCUCCUAAGGCACAAUUAUUUUUUAGAAAAAGUCUGGCACAGUUGAACAUGUAGUCACUUUCAUAUUAUUAAAUUAAAUUUGGGAUAAUUUUAAACAUCUAAUUACAUUAAUGAGUUGAAUUUUGUGGACAUCAUUUUCUAUUAGAGACUUUGAAGACUAUAUAUAUAUUCUUUUAGCAUUACAUUGCAGAAUAUCUUUAAUAUGCAUGAAGUACAUAUAUGGUUUCCAAGUUCUUGUUCGACAAACUAGGAUAUCCAUAUAACUUUUUCCUGACAUAAGUUGCAGACAGUUACACAAGGACGGGAAACAUAUAUAAUCAGCACUCUUACUUUGGGAAAGCAUGGGUUGAAGUACCAGAUGGUCUCUAUAGUAUGACAUUGUGAUAGUUUUACGGCAAAAUAAGGAAUGAGUCAUAUUUUCUUUCUGGCAUUCAUCAAUCUGAUUUAUGAAAGUCAAUAAAUGUUCAAAGAAAGAUGUAUGUGAUUUAUCAUUUAGAUGUUGGCGUUAAUAAGUUGUGCAAGAUUAAUUUACA
This is a long non-coding RNA of Daucus carota subsp. sativus, 951 nucleotides long. RefSeq lists it as uncharacterized. The record is from RefSeq and is a predicted model, not a curated record. NCBI's taxonomy places the organism in Eukaryota, Viridiplantae, Streptophyta, Magnoliopsida, Apiales, Apiaceae. The transcript has 4 exons.